UCCUUGUUGGCUCAGAAGUUAAAGCAUCUACCUGCAAUGUGGGAGACCUGGGUUCGAUCCCUGGGUCAGGAA
Ovis aries (sheep) is the source of this 72-nucleotide transfer RNA. It matches the Rfam family "tRNA". Rfam says of the family: Transfer RNA (tRNA) molecules are approximately 80 nucleotides in length. Their secondary structure includes four short double-helical elements and three loops (D, anti-codon, and T loops). Lineage: Eukaryota; Metazoa; Chordata; Mammalia; Artiodactyla; Bovidae. The record is from Rfam.